GCAGCCGGGGACGGGAGGAUGGCCGGGGCGGAAGAGACCGGGUGAAGCAGCUCAGUGAAGUCCCAGGGCCGCAGAGCUGGGCCGGGAAUCUGUCCGGGAGAAGCCUUCUCCUCCAGCCUGGACACUUUAAGCAGCGGUGGCGGCAAACAGCGCGAGGCUGCACCGCGGGCAGCGAGCCUUCCUGGUCCCGACGUUGUGCUGACCUCCGGAGACGACAAGUGAGCAAGAAGUGUCCGGCCGGGCCAUCCCCCUAAGACACCCACAGCCACAGAGGGGGUUGCUGCGCCGCCUGCGAGGAGUGCGGUCAAUCUUCAGCGCAACGAGCCCCGCAGUCCCCCUCUUCCCGACCCUUCAGCCCCACCGCGCCUUCCCGGAGGGAGCCUUGGAGCCUUUGGCUAUGAAUGCCUAGAGGCCAAGGAAGAGCCUGCUUGGGAGAAGAAGCGGUCUCAGAUUUCACAUCAAGCUCACCGGAGGAUUUGGAGGAUUGUAUGUAAAUUGAAAUAAAUUCUCCAAAGCCUGA
Odocoileus virginianus texanus is the source of this 520-nucleotide non-coding RNA. NCBI's taxonomy places the organism in Eukaryota, Metazoa, Chordata, Mammalia, Artiodactyla, Cervidae. The record is from RefSeq and is a predicted model, not a curated record.